This 159-nucleotide ribosomal RNA is filed under the name Phaeophyscia endophoenicea. Its description in RNAcentral is "5.8S ribosomal RNA". It matches the Rfam family "5.8S ribosomal RNA". From Rfam's summary of the family: 5.8S ribosomal RNA (5.8S rRNA) is a component of the large subunit of the eukaryotic ribosome. It is transcribed by RNA polymerase I as part of the 45S precursor that also contains 18S and 28S rRNA. Functionally, it is thought that 5.8S rRNA may be involved in ribosome translocation. The record is from RNAcentral. Lineage: Eukaryota; Fungi; Ascomycota; Lecanoromycetes; Caliciales; Physciaceae.
AAAACUUUCAACAACGGAUCUCUUGGUUCUGGCAUCGAUGAAGAACGCAGCGAAAUGCGAUAAGUAAUGUGAAUUGCAGAAUUCCGUGAAUCAUCGAGUCUUUGAACGCACAUUGCGCCCUUUGGUAUUCCGAAGGGCAUGCCUGUUCGAGCGUCAUUG